ACCCUCCGGUUCUGAGCGCGCCGCCCGCACUCACCUGACCACCGCUCGCUAAGUGUUGUCAGCC
RNAcentral lists this small RNA (64 nucleotides) under Xanthomonas arboricola pv. populi. RNAcentral describes it as "sX9 sRNA". It matches the Rfam family "Xanthomonas sRNA sX9", at positions 14 to 76 of the family's 76-position model. Lineage: Bacteria; Pseudomonadati; Pseudomonadota; Gammaproteobacteria; Lysobacterales; Lysobacteraceae. The record is from RNAcentral.